CAGAGAAUUUGCUGGAAGAAAAACAUGGAGGCUGUAAUUCAGGCGAGUUCGAGUGAAGAAUCGCGAGGUGUGACUGUGAAGCCAUCUCCGGCGAGGUGGAUCGGACGGAGAUAGAACGACAACGAUUGACAUCAUCACUGGUUUUUGUUUGAUCUUCUAUAUCAAAUGGAGAUGGUCGGCGAUGUUUGUAGACGAGGUUGGGGGUGGAGUUCUUGCGUCCGAUGAUCAGAGGCGUUUGAAGGAAAGGGUUUGAGGAAAGCAAAUGGCUGACAACGUUUGAAGGAAAGGAAAGAGAGACGAAAAGGUUUGGGUAAGGGUUUCUGUAUUUUUAUUAAAAUGUAUUUUAAUUAAUUUAGAAAAAGUUUUAUUUUAAUAAAUUUGAAUAAAAGAUAUUUUAAUAAAAUAUUUAAUGUUUUUACCUUUUAUGACAGCAAACUAUUGUCAUAGAAAAGUGAAAUUUGAAACCAACAAAAAUGCAAAUUUUGACAUUUUGUGACAUAUUUUUCUUCCCUCGUUUCAAUUUGGGAUGUAAUGAUAUGUUCAAUUUUCUUGCAGUGAUUUUAGCUUAAUAAAAAGACUAAUAGGUAAUUUUAAAAACUUUUGAAAAAAUAACAAUAGACUAUGAGAUGAACACAAUUUUUAAGUUAAAGAAGGGUGAUUUGUGUGGAUGAAAAAUGAGGAAUAGGUUUUAGGAGUGAAUGAAAUGUGACCUCUUACUUGCAUCAACACUUUGUAGAUUUACUAAUUCGUCCCUAAAAACUAUCCGUAACUUGCAAUUGAGAGA
Molecule: long non-coding RNA, 784 nt
Organism: Cucumis melo (muskmelon)
Lineage: Eukaryota; Viridiplantae; Streptophyta; Magnoliopsida; Cucurbitales; Cucurbitaceae
Exons: 2
Source: RefSeq, a predicted model, not a curated record